Molecule: long non-coding RNA, 2645 nt
Organism: Myxocyprinus asiaticus (Chinese sucker)
Lineage: Eukaryota; Metazoa; Chordata; Actinopteri; Cypriniformes; Catostomidae
Exons: 4
Source: RefSeq, a predicted model, not a curated record
ACAAACAAAUUUAAUACAUUAGGAAGGAAAUAACAACAUGUUAACAUUAACAAUCGCAUUUUCUUACAAAAAUAUUCAAACUAACUGUUCAUACAGUGCACAGUGAAUAUGACAUUUAGCACACGAUGCACUUUUACUUUGAAGUUGCUCUAUCGCUCAUAUGCGGAUCCAGUGAGAGCAGCAAUCUACUGAACGCUUCCAGUUUACUCAGCCCAGAUCGCCUGCUUGGAGUGUCAUGGACUGACCCUUGUGAAUUUGAGGGAGAUCUAGAUCCAGGCUGACAGAAUACGCACUUCAGAAGGAAGACAUAGAGCACUCCACAGGAAGAAAACGCUGGAUGUGUGCAAGUUUUGUGAGCACGGGUAUAUUCCAGGAUGACAAUGCCAAGAUUCAUCGGACUCAAAUUGUGAAAGAGCGGUUCAGGGAGCAUGAGGAAUCAUUUUCACACAUGAAUUGGCCACCACAGAGUCCUGACCUUAACCCCAUUUAAAGUCUUUGGGAUGUGCUGGAGAAGACUUUACAGAGUGGAUCGACUCUCUUGUCAUCAAUACAAGAUCUCGGCCAAAAAUUAAUGCAACUCUGGCUGGAAAUAAAUGUUGUGACGUUGUAUAAGGUUGUCAAAACAAUGCCACGACGAAUGUGCACUGUAAUCAAAGCUAAAUGCGGUCCAACGAAAUAGUAGAGUAUGCAACUUUUUUUUUCUUUCUUUUUUUUUUGACCAGGCAGUGUAUUACGAAGAUAUUUUUUCCCCUUUGGACCCAGAAUCUGUAUUAAAAAAAUAAAGUAGGUCAAUUUCAUGGUCCCUUUAAAUUUAGCGAAAUUAGCCUCCAAAUUGUUUGUAUUAUCAAUAAAAAAAAAUCUAGUUUAAGAUUCAUGUAAAUUCAAAGAUACAUAAAAAAAGUAUUGUUUUUAUUACAUUUAUAGCAAAGGCAACACUUUACAAUAAAUAUUUGUUAACAUUAGUUGUUAACAUGACCUAACAAUUAGGGCUGGAUAUUGAUACAGACUUCCCGAUUCUAUUUGAUUCCAAUUCGAUAUUGAUUUAUAUGGGUUUAUUUCAGUUAUAAUGUCCAUUUUGCUUAUAUAUCAAGGAAAUUAUCUCCCAGCUAAUGCUGUUAAUUAUACAGGGGACCUUCCAAAUAGUUACAUUAUGAAAAUAUUAAUUUUACUAAUAUUUUAUUAGUUUUUCAUCAUUUGUCACAUUUUAGCUUUUUAAAAUGAACAAAUCCAUGUAUUCUAUCAAUAUGAUAUUAUAAUGCAUAUUAUAUUUUUGUUACACGAUUAUUGUUUCCAUGCAUAAUUUGUACUAUUUACACGUAUUGGCAUUCAGUUGAUUAACACGCGCUAAAAACCGGUACUGUCUCUUUAAGAAAACCAGUAAAUGAGCACAUAUAAACAAGUGUGACUUCUUUACCGCAUCCAUGCUAUGCGUGAUUAUUUUUUGUUGUUUCUGAUCAACAACUGACUGUAAAGAACAGAAAUGGUACUAAAAGAGAAUUAUUCAAUGACAAAUGUAUUCCGUGGAUCUCAUCUUUGGACACUCAUUGGAACGAGUUAAACCAAACUUUUACUCUCAACACGCAGUGAAAUGAUCUCGGUGCUGAACAUCUUCCCCACUAUACAACACAAUCACUGUAGUCUUUACCUUGUCUACGUUGGCUCGGGUCUUAGCAGACGUCUCCACGUAGCACACCCCCCACUGAUCAGCUCUAACUUUGGCCUCAUCUGAGCUCACCUGUCUCCUGUCCUCAAGAUCAGACUUAUUCCCCACCAACAGGAAGGGGACAUUCUCGUCUUCUUUCACGCGCAGAAUCUGCUCUCUGUGUAAAGAAGCCGGAUCCAGCUCCAUUCCUGCUUGGUACUGGACUCCAUUGCUACGUGUCUCUGAGUGAUGGCGCAAAAUGCAGCCGGUGCCAGCCAGACAUAACUUCAGUCUAUUACGAUGGACCACAGCGGAUGAACUGAUGCCAACUCCAACCAUAAGACAUGGGAUACUUCAUAUGCCAUUGCCUGAACCUUGGACUUAGGAUAGACCUCACCAAAAUUACCGGCCGGUUGAACUGCGAAGCACCUCACUGAUCUCGGCCUGCAUCACCUUGGUCUAAUGAUGGACAACACUCUUAAAAUGGAAUACAUAGCCUAUCAAUAAAUUGCCAACAAAAGCCUUCAUCAGCCAACUAACAAAGGACAAUGCAACUAUAUUAACUUCUGCAGUUAAUCCAGGAUGAACUUCAGAGACAUUAGUCAUUACUCUUAAACCCUGCUUUCUCCCAAGGUUAUUUUUCUCCAUUAACCAACAUCCUACGGAGUUUUGUGUUCCUUGCCACAGUCACCUUCGACUUGCUCACUGGGUUUCUAAAUGCAAUUAUUAUUUAAUUACCUAUUUUUAUACAUGCUUCAUAACUGUAUUUAAUCAAACUACACAAUGAUGACUAAGACUUUAUAGAUAUUACAGUUUCAUUUUCUGUUAAUACAUGAUUUUCUGUAAAGCUGCUUUGAAAUGAUGUGUGUUGUGAAAGGCACUAUACAAAUAAAAAUGACAUGACAUAUUCCACAAUGAGAGUGCUUCUGUAUUUACUUAUUUUGUAUUUUUGCAUUAUAAUUCCCUAAUACUUUGUGAUCUACAUCAUCUGAAGCUGUUUGGA